UGGCUCAGAGAUUAAAGCAUCUGCCUGCAAUGCAGGAGACCCAGGUUCGAUCCCUGG
Molecule: transfer RNA, 57 nt
Filed under: Ovis aries (sheep)
Lineage: Eukaryota; Metazoa; Chordata; Mammalia; Artiodactyla; Bovidae
Rfam family: tRNA
About the family: Transfer RNA (tRNA) molecules are approximately 80 nucleotides in length. Their secondary structure includes four short double-helical elements and three loops (D, anti-codon, and T loops).
Source: Rfam by way of RNAcentral